GCAAUCGACCACAGGGUAUAGAAAACAGGGCUUCCCGUCCGCUCAGUCAUACUUAAGCUAUAGGCCGGCCGGUUAGUACCAAGGCGGGUGACCACUUGGGAAUCCUGGCUGUUGAUUGUU
This is a ribosomal RNA of Cladophialophora psammophila CBS 110553, 120 nucleotides long. Lineage: Eukaryota; Fungi; Ascomycota; Eurotiomycetes; Chaetothyriales; Herpotrichiellaceae. The record is from Rfam.